RNAcentral lists this long non-coding RNA (475 nucleotides) under Coffea arabica (coffee). RNAcentral describes it as "long non-coding RNA (CARA_LNC007436)". The record is from RNAcentral. Lineage: Eukaryota; Viridiplantae; Streptophyta; Magnoliopsida; Gentianales; Rubiaceae.
UAGAAGGCUGGGGGAAUCUGUGUAGUUUGGACAACCUGCAUUUGGACCAAGUGAACAAAGUAGAGCCUAGGGUCAUCUUAGAGUACAACGAAUGGAUCAAAUCAAUGAUAGAACAAGGGAGAGAAAGGACACCGUUGAUUGCCGUUAGUCUCGAGGAGCAGAAUGGGAAGCUAAGGAAAGAGCUGGAGGAUCAUCAGUUGCAGAUCAUGGUGGCCGAUCAAGCAUUGGAGGACGCCCGCUCACAAUUGAGGAAAGAGGCAAAGAAGACAGAGAAAUUGGAAAAGGCAUUGAGUGCAUUUGAUAAAAUUCAAGAUGAAAUUCGAAAACUUAGUAUCGGGAGUUCUAGGGAAUCCCAACAUACCAAACUAGCUAGACAUGAGGACUUUGUAAGAAUGGUUGGUCAAACCAUCAAUGACAUUGUAAAGAAGGAUUGAGUUUAUCCAUAUUUUAAUGAGAAAUUCCGCUUCUAUAUUCA